UAGGAGAUCAAACUAGCCACAACAUUCCC
RNAcentral lists this non-coding RNA (29 nucleotides) under Homo sapiens (human). Lineage: Eukaryota; Metazoa; Chordata; Mammalia; Primates; Hominidae. The record is from RNAcentral.